RNAcentral lists this unclassified non-coding RNA (1484 nucleotides) under Hevea brasiliensis (rubber tree). Lineage: Eukaryota; Viridiplantae; Streptophyta; Magnoliopsida; Malpighiales; Euphorbiaceae. The record is from RNAcentral.
GCUUUCCCUUCUUAAUCCGAAACCUACACUUGUCUUCCACUCCUCCUCAUACAUUGUGAAAACAAAUUCUCUGCAAUCCUUCUGAUACAUAAAAACAAAGAAAAAUAACUCUCUUCUUCUGUUUUGUAGCUUUCCUUCUCCUUUUUAUUUGCUUCAUCUGUUUCCAGCAUAUGCAUUUUCAAUAAUAUAGGGAGCUGACAGAAACAUUGCGGUUCAACGUUCGCGAUACAAAGAUUGCCGGCGAAUGCAGGUGCUUAAUUUGGAAUAUUGGCUGCUACUAGAGAUGGUCAUUAACCUUCUUGAUGGGAUCAUUUCGGUUAAAAGUGGAGGACAUGAGCACAGAUUCCCAGCUAGAGCCACCGCCUAUCGUUGAAGCAGUACUGAUAGAAACCAAAGGAUCCGAACUGGGCACAAUCAGGUCGGCUUGUUGCUGCAUCUGCUGAUGCUGUUGACUAGUGAAAGCUUCCUCAUUGAUGAUCGAAUUGAGAAAUGAAGAGAAGACAUCAUCGGUGCCGUAAUUGAUAUCUUCGUCUUCUUCGUUGUUAAGCCCUUGAACGUUGCUUCUCAAAUACAUCCCACAAGUACCAUCACCACAAUUCAGCAAGCUUGAAUAUCCAUGGCUUGCAUUAUUAUUGUUCCCGUUAAUGUGGUAGUGAUGAUCCAAGGAAGUGUUUUCGAUGUAUAAAUUUUGUUCGUUGCUGAUGAUUUGAGUACUGCCCCCGCUGUUUGUUUCUUCCACACCAGAAGAAGCAGCUGCACCAGCUGGAUUGUUAUUAUUACUCUUAGGGCUUGAUGUUUUGCGAUUUGCUUUAGAUGAAGAAGCUUUGUGAUGAUCAACAGAUUCAGGCUUGAGUGGCUUGUGGGUUCUUGGAUCGAUUCCUUGGCUUAUGAGCUUCUUGCUCAGGUGAGUGUUCCAGUAAUUCUUGAUCUCAUUAUCUGUACGCCCUGGAAUUCUCCCAGCUAUCAAUGACCACCUGUUUCCCAGAAGUCGAUGUAAGCGAAGAAUGAGAUCUUCUUCAUCAGGAGCGAUCUGGCCGCGUUUUACACAAGGACGGAGGUAGUUCAUCCAUCGGAGACGGCAACUCUUACCGCAGCGGAGAAGUCCAGCUCUUUUAGGCAAGGUACGCCAGCGACCUUCCCCUUCUUUCUUGAUGUAGUUGACAAGAAGCUCAUCUUCUUCAGGCGUCCAUGGCCCUCUCUUUAACCCUACCUUGCUGCAACAUGGUGUUUUCGCUGUUGUCGUCGCUGCUUGUGGUCCUCCUCCUGCAGAAGUAGCCGUUGAUGGAUUCCUCAUCUUCUUCUUAUUCUGCUUCUUCUUCUUUCUCUGGUCUAUGAAUCGUUUAUGUAUAUGUUCUGUUGGCGAUUGGCAUUGGGUAUGGCAAAGAUAAUUGAUAAAGAGAGGGGCUUUUUUGUUUCUUUAUUGUAAUAAAGAGUGUUGUGGUGAUAUACCCACGAGCAGUUAAAGAGAAUGAAGAACACGCGCG